UGGGGAAUAUUGGACAAUGGGCGAAAGCCUGAUCCAGCAAUGCCGCGUGAGUGAUGAAGGCCCUAGGGUUGUAAAGCUCUUUUACCCGGGAAGAAGGAGUGCGGGUUAAUACCUUGCAUGACGGACGGUACUGGAUGAAUAAGCACCGGCUAACUAC
Molecule: ribosomal RNA, 157 nt
Filed under: uncultured bacterium
Lineage: Bacteria
Description: partial 16S ribosomal RNA
Rfam family: Bacterial small subunit ribosomal RNA
Source: RNAcentral